Molecule: long non-coding RNA, 354 nt
Organism: Gossypium arboreum
Lineage: Eukaryota; Viridiplantae; Streptophyta; Magnoliopsida; Malvales; Malvaceae
Exons: 2
Source: RefSeq, a predicted model, not a curated record
GGGGUACCUUUCUUGGCUGAUCCCUUUUGCUUUAUGGCGUGCUCGUUUGGGUUGGGCGUCGGCUUAGAGUGCUCGGAGCGUGGAUUAACUCCAGUCUCCAAUCAGGUAAUCCCUAAGCUUAGAUGGUUUAGAGCUGCGAGGGACUCGGAGAUGGCCACACACUAUUUCUGUUUCUUGUAAUUGCAAUUAGAUUUCGUUUUGGGUGUUUUUAUGUAAUAAGGUCGUUGGUGGGUUUUAAGUUUUAAUUUGGAUUGUGAUUUCUUAUACUAAACUGCCAGUCUAGGAAAACUCGAGAUUUCAAAAUGGCAUGAUUUUUCUAAGGAAUACGAGCUUCCAACAACAAAGUUUUCAAAA